Long non-coding RNA from Drosophila willistoni, 298 nucleotides. RefSeq lists it as uncharacterized. Lineage: Eukaryota; Metazoa; Arthropoda; Insecta; Diptera; Drosophilidae. The transcript is spliced from 3 exons. The record is from RefSeq and is a predicted model, not a curated record.
UCGAUGAUCGCUUUUACCAAACAUGCAACCCUGUCAUUCUGAUCAAGCUUCAAAGUCAGGUGAUUAGUCAGCUGAUGCCUGCGACAAAAUUGGCGGGAAAUUUUUAUUCACUUUGAGCGCUUGGCAAAUUUACACAAAAGAAAAAUAAGAUACUGCAAAAACAGGAUUUUGGAGGCCAAGAAAACUAAACAUAUGUGUUCGUCUUCUGUGGAGUAAAAACUAACAUUCUGCGUGUUUCUGCCAUAUGUAAUAUCAUGUUGAGUUCUGGCAUUCAACGCUGCUGGACGUAUGAAUGGAC